RNAcentral lists this microRNA precursor (200 nucleotides) under Dichanthelium oligosanthes. RNAcentral describes it as "MIR1435 microRNA precursor family". It matches the Rfam family "MIR1435 microRNA precursor family". The record is from Rfam by way of RNAcentral. Lineage: Eukaryota; Viridiplantae; Streptophyta; Magnoliopsida; Poales; Poaceae.
UUGGUUUUUCUGAAGUCAAACUUGCUAAACUUUGACCAUGUUUAUUGAAAAAUAUAAUAACAACCACACUACCAAACAUAUGCACUAUCAAAAUAUAUUCCGUGGUGGAUUCAAUGAGAAAAAUUUGGUAUUAUAAAUGUUGUUAUAUUUUUCUAUAAACAUGGUUAAAAUUUAGCAAGUUUGACUUCAGACAAACCAAA